This 64-nucleotide transfer RNA is filed under the name Macleaya cordata. It matches the Rfam family "tRNA". Rfam says of the family: Transfer RNA (tRNA) molecules are approximately 80 nucleotides in length. Their secondary structure includes four short double-helical elements and three loops (D, anti-codon, and T loops). Further hydrogen bonds mediate the characteristic L-shaped molecular structure. tRNAs have two regions of fundamental functional importance: the anti-codon, which is responsible for specific mRNA codon recognition, and the 3' end, to which the tRNAs corresponding amino acid is attached (by aminoacyl-tRNA synthetases). tRNAs cope with the degeneracy of the genetic code in two manners: having more than one tRNA (with a specific anti-codon) for a particular amino acid; and 'wobble' base-pairing, i.e. permitting non-standard base-pairing at the 3rd anti-codon position. The record is from Rfam by way of RNAcentral. Lineage: Eukaryota; Viridiplantae; Streptophyta; Magnoliopsida; Ranunculales; Papaveraceae.
GCUGGAGUAGCUCAGCGUGUGGCUGUUAACCACAAGGUCGAAGGUUCAACCCCUUCCUCUAGCG